ACCGGGGGAGACGCCGGGGCGGCGGGGGCGAGCGUGGUGGUGCACGCCGCCCACUCCCCCCCUCCGCCGCAGCUGACCGCCAUGCCUCACCCCGCGUCGCUGGUUCACCAUAUACCCACCAUGGUGCUGUGACGUGAGGGGGUCGACAGACUGCGUCAUGUGACCCAGCUAGCAUGCUAACUAGCCAAACAAUUAGCUUGCUAACGAGCCGAGUCACCAUUAGCCAGCUAACUCAUUAGCCAGCUAACUCAUUAGCCAGCUAACUCAUUAGCCAGCUAGCAUGCUUAAGCAACUUGCUGACUCAUCGCGUGCUAACCGACUGGUUGGCCACAUAACUAGCCGAUUAGCUGACUGCUAGCCAGUUACCAUGCUUACUACUUAGCCAAACAACUUGCUAUCGAACUAUAGCAUGCUAGCUUAAUAACUACACCAUUAGCUGACUCAUUUAUUGUUAGCCAAAUAAACGACUGACUGCUAACCAGCUCGUAUCUUCACUAACUAAACAACUUGCUAACUAGCUUGAUUGAUUAACUCACUGGUUUGGUAAAUUCUAGCAUGCUAGUUUAAUAGCUACAUAACUAGCUGACUGCUAGCUAGCUACCAUGCUUACUACUUAGCCAAACAACUUGACUAGCUAGCAUGCUAGCUUAAUAACUACACAACUAACUGAUUGAUAGCUAGCCUGCUACCUAACUAGCUAAGUAAACUAACUGGUUGGCUGGUUUUAGCUCGCAGCUAGCUCGUCCCUCAGUCUUCGCCACAUUGAUUCAGAGUUUGGUUCCCGUCACCGGCUCCAUGUUUGAUGUUACAGUUGGACUCCGUUUGGGCGACCCAGCUAAUCAUUGACCACGAAGACAAACAGUUACAUCAUCGUACAUGGCAUUUGUACAUUACAUGCAUGCGCACAUUUAUGAUUAUUCCAACACUCAGACGUUCUUUAAAUGUUUCAUAAACAUUGCAUGAUGGGACAGUGUCAUGUCAGUAUAAAUCAUGUGCCUUUGAUGGUGAUGAUGUCGUGCUUUGGUUUGCAUGCUAAUUGAUUGAGGUUGUAACGUGUGUUUAAAACUAGGAGGCGCUACAGUGUGAGCACUGAGGCUCCUUCAGAGGAAUCCACUGAGCUUCUGGUAGUUCAUUCAAUGCUAACAGCUUAGCAUACACAAUGCUAAGUGACAGGAGGCUCCAUGCUAAAGCUCAAAUCUAAGCACCACUCUUUACCACUAGCUUGACAGAGCUAACUGAGCCAGGCCAUGUGUUAGCAAGCUAGCUAGCUUGGCGAGCUAUUCCAACUGAACAACAACUCUAGCCACGAUGUCGCCAAGCUAACGCGACAUAUUUCAGAUAAACUUAGCUGUGACAUUAGCUUACAACGCGCUGGAACUUGCUAAUGCUAACAUAUUAGCAUGGUGCUUGCUCGCGUUAUAGCAUCGGUCGAGCUAAUGUAGCUCAAGCUUACUCGGCUCUAAUGCGACAGAUUUAGCUAACAUUAGCGAACAUUAGCUCAAAUUAUCAACGUUAGCGUCCAUGUUUGAGGAUUAUCAAGUCAUGCUAACUUUGACGUGUACCGUGUUGCGUUAGCUAGCACUUUAGUGUAGCACCUUGUUGUGUGAUAGAGUAGAGCUAACGCUAACGCCAAACAUUUAAGUCCAGGUUAGCUUGAUGAUAGCAAAAGUCAUGUUAGCAUGGUGUUCUGUACUUUGCUCAGCAUUAGCUACAUGCUAACAUGUUAGCAGCGAUCAGUGAAUCUACUGAAAGCUCGUCAGGUUCCUUUAAAGCAGCUCGUUAGGUUCAGGUUCCUUUAAAGCAGCUCGUUAGGUUCAGGUUCCUUUAAAGCAGCUCGUUAGGUUCAGGUUCCUUUAAAGCAGCUCGUUAGGUUCCUUUAAAGCAGCUCGUUAGGUUCCUUUAAAGCAGCUCGUUAGGUUCAGGUUCCUUUAAAGCAGCUCGUUAGGUUCAGGUUCCUUUAAAGCAGCUCGUUAGGUUCCUUUACAGCAGCUCGUCACUUAUUAAAACAUGAUGAAAUGAUGAUUAUUGUUUGUUUGUUGGUUUGGGCUGCGUUCAGGUUCAGAAAAUCUAAUGUUUGUAAAUGUUUGGACACGUUUGAUGUAAAUAAUGUGCAGACUGUGAAUAUAAAC
This is a long non-coding RNA of Larimichthys crocea (large yellow croaker), 2129 nucleotides long. RefSeq lists it as uncharacterized. The record is from RefSeq and is a predicted model, not a curated record. Lineage: Eukaryota; Metazoa; Chordata; Actinopteri; Sciaenidae. The transcript is spliced from 2 exons.